RNAcentral lists this ribosomal RNA (22 nucleotides) under Fuscoporia gilva. Its description in RNAcentral is "partial 28S ribosomal RNA". Lineage: Eukaryota; Fungi; Basidiomycota; Agaricomycetes; Hymenochaetales; Hymenochaetaceae. The record is from RNAcentral.
UCUGACCUCAAAUCAGGUAGGA